This 122-nucleotide ribosomal RNA is filed under the name Gallus gallus (chicken). Lineage: Eukaryota; Metazoa; Chordata; Aves; Galliformes; Phasianidae. The record is from RNAcentral.
GCCUACGGCCAUCCCACCCUGGUCACGCCGCGAUCUCGUCUGAUCUCGGAAGCUAAGCAGGGGUCGGGCCUGGUUAGUACUUGGAUGGGAGACCUCCUGGGAAUACGCGGGUGCUGUAGGCU